Molecule: ribosomal RNA, 568 nt
Filed under: uncultured bacterium
Lineage: Bacteria
Description: partial 16S ribosomal RNA
Rfam family: Bacterial small subunit ribosomal RNA
Source: RNAcentral
UGGGGAAUAUUGCACAAUGGGCGCAAGCCUGAUGCAGCCAUGCCGCGUGUGUGAAGAAGGCCUUCGGGUUGUAAAGCACUUUCAGCGAGGAGGAAGGUGGUGAGCUUAAUACGCUCAUCAAUUGACGUUACUCGCAGAAGAAGCACCGGCUAACUCCGUGCCAGCAGCCGCGGUAAUACGGAGGGUGCAAGCGUUAAUCGGAAUUACUGGGCGUAAAGCGCACGCAGGCGGUUUGUUAAGUCAGAUGUGAAAUCCCCGGGCUCAACCUGGGAACUGCAUUUGAAACUGGCAAGCUAGAGUCUCGUAGAGGGGGGUAGAAUUUCCAGGUGUAGCGGUGAAAUGCGUAGAGAUCUGGAGGAAUACCGGUGGCGAAGGCGGCCCCCCUGGACGAAGACUGACGCUCAGGUGCGAAAGCGUGGGGCAGCAAACAGGAUUAGAUACCCUGGUAGUCCACGCUGUAAACGAUGUCGAUUUGGAGGUUGUGCCCUUGAGGCGUGGCUUCCGGAGCUAACGCGUUAAAUCGACCGCCUGGGGAGUACGGCCGCAAGGUUAAAACUCAAAUGAAUUG